AUACGGAGGGUGCAAGCGUUGUCCGGAUUUAUUGGGUUUAAAGGGUGCGUAGGUGGUUUUUUAAGUCAGUGGUGAAAGCCUACAGCUUAACUGUAGAGGUGCCAUUGAAACUGGGGAACUUGAGUAUGGACGAGGUAGGCGGAAUUUGUGGUGUAGCGGUGAAAUGCAUAGAUACCACAAAGAACACCGAUAGCGAAGGCAGCUUACUAGGCCAUAACUGACACUGAGGCACGAAAGUGUGGGGAGCGAGCAGGAUUAGAAACCCUAGUAGUCC
RNAcentral lists this ribosomal RNA (274 nucleotides) under uncultured bacterium. RNAcentral's name for it is "partial 16S ribosomal RNA". It matches the Rfam family "Bacterial small subunit ribosomal RNA", at positions 523 to 796 of the family's 1533-position model. The record is from RNAcentral.